RNAcentral lists this ribosomal RNA (408 nucleotides) under Epyris sp. RNAcentral's name for it is "partial large subunit ribosomal RNA". Lineage: Eukaryota; Metazoa; Arthropoda; Insecta; Hymenoptera; Bethylidae. The record is from RNAcentral.
UUCUUUUUGAUUUUAAUAUAAAGUAUUCUCUGCCNAAUGAUUAAUUAAAUGGCUGCAGUAAUUUAACUGUACAAAGGUAGCAUAAUAAAUWGUUUUUUAAAUGAAUUCUUGAAUGAAAGAGGGGAUGAAAUAUAGUUUUUAUUAAUUAAAUUAUUUAAAUUUUAUUUUAAAGUUAAAAAGCUUUAAUUUUUUUAAGGGACGAGAAGACCCUAUAGAAUUUUAUAUUUUUAUUUUUUUUUAAUUUUAAAUAAAUUAGAUAUAUUUGUUUGGGAGGAAUUUUAAAUUUAAUAAACUUUAAAAUUUUAUUUACAAAAAUUUUUGGAAUAUUAUAUUAAUUGGAUUUAAAUAAAAUUACCUUAGGGAUAACAGCGUAAUAUUUUUUUAUAGUUCUUAUUGAAAAAAAUGUUU